This 46-nucleotide non-coding RNA is filed under the name Schistosoma haematobium. Lineage: Eukaryota; Metazoa; Platyhelminthes; Trematoda; Strigeidida; Schistosomatidae. The record is from RNAcentral.
GCGCCACUGAGGAGUCCCAUACUAGGACGAAACGGCCGUCCAGUGC